AGUGAACGCUGGCGGUAGGCCUAAUACAUGCAAGUCGAACGGCCGCACAGUAAGAGCUUGCUCUUACGGGUGGCGAGUGGCGGACGGGCGAGGCAUAGAUCGGCAUCUACUUUUUCGUGGGGGAUAACGUAGGGAAACUUACGCUAAUACCGCAUAUGACCUACGGGUGAAAGCAGGGGAUCUUCGGACUUUGCGCGAUUGAAUGAGCCGAUGUCGGAUUAGCUAGUUGGCGGGGUAAAGGCACACCAAGGCGACGAUCCGUAGCUGAUCUGAGAGGAUGAUCAGCCACACUGGAACUGAGACACGGUCCAGACUCCUACGGGAGGCAGCAGUGGGGAAUAUUGGACAAUGGGCGCAAGCCUGAUCCAGCCAUACCGCGUGAGUGAAGAAGGCCUUCGGGUUGUAAAGCCCUGUUGUUGGGAAAGAAAAGCAGCAUGUUAAUACCCCGCUGUUCUGACGGUACCCAAAGAAUAAGCACCGGCUAACUUCGUG
This 492-nucleotide ribosomal RNA is filed under the name uncultured bacterium. RNAcentral's name for it is "partial 16S ribosomal RNA". It matches the Rfam family "Bacterial small subunit ribosomal RNA", at positions 29 to 507 of the family's 1533-position model. The record is from RNAcentral.